CAGCCGCCACGGUAAUACGUAGGUGGCGAGCGUUGUCCGGAAUUAUUGGGCGUAAAGGGAGCGCAGGCGGACAUAUAAGUCCAUCUUAAAAGUGCGGGGCUCAACCCCGUGAGGGGAUGGAAACUGUAUGCCUUGAGUGCAGGAGAGGAAAGCGGAAUUCCCAGUGUAGCGGUGAAAUGCGUAGAUAUUAGGAGGAAUACCAGUGGCGAAGGCGACUUUCUGGACUGCAACUGACACUGAGGCACGAAAGCGUGGGGAGCAAAUAGGAUUAGAUACCCCAGUAGUCCCUGUCUCUUAUACA
RNAcentral lists this ribosomal RNA (301 nucleotides) under uncultured bacterium. RNAcentral describes it as "partial 16S ribosomal RNA". It matches the Rfam family "Bacterial small subunit ribosomal RNA", at positions 509 to 808 of the family's 1533-position model. The record is from RNAcentral.